GUGAUGCCCGUGUGCAACUACUCAAUGCAUGCUCCAAGUGGCCAGGGUCUACGCACGACUUGUUCAUUCUGCGCCGCAGCAGAGUAAACCUCACAAUUUGGCACACAGCAGAACAAGGUUGGUUGUGGUGCGCACCAUCGGACUGCUGAAUGGCAGGUGGCGUUGCCUUGAUGCAUCAGGUGGAAAACUCCUCUACAAGCCAGAAGUCAAAGGUGACACGCAUAAUACUGGCAUGUGGUGUGAGCCACAACAUAGCCCUAAGGCAUGGAGAUUAGAAGGGACACCUAAGAGCCUCAUAACCCACCACCCAAUGGAGCACCUGUCCCAGCUGAUGCAGUGAGGUGGUGGCAGCUCAUACAGAGAUUUGUGGACUGAGGUGGUCAACACACGAACUGUAGAUGUGGACAGACCCUCAACCCCUGUGGCCAAACAUUCCCUCACUCAUGGCAUCUUUGGGUCUGCGAUGAUUGGGAACCGGCACACGGACGCAGACGGACCCUCGACACCUGUGGCCAAACAUUCCCUCUCACUCCUGGCACCUGCUGAUUUGGGAGCCUCAUGCACUUUAACCCUGGGUGGAGGGCGGCCGGGCUGCAACGAAGCUUCACAUGGUGGAGCGGCCACCCUCAACCGGCGCACGGGCUGCAACGCAGCUUCCUCCGUUUAUGUGAAUUAAAAUAAAAAUCAGUGUGUCUUGUAUAUAAAAGUUACUGACAACCACAGUUACAGUCUCUUAAUUAUUUACCAUGAUCCAGUGAUGCUGUAAUGAACAGGAUGGGAGAGAGCUGGUUUCAAGCGCAGGGCGCAGCAGGUGUUUUUGUAAAGGACCACAGGAGGCGGCAGAUAGCUGGGUCCAGGGGCAGGCAGAAGGUCAUACACAGGGGGUCCAAAAAGGCAACAGUUCAGGCAGGGAAAAGGCUAGUAACAUCGUCUGGGAGAUCAGGCAACAGGUUGCUAACAGGAAAUCCGAAAGUACAGGCAGGGACUAGGCAAAAGGCGUCGUUAGUUUUAGCCUGCUUCACUAUCGUACUCGGGAGGCUUUAGAUUACGGGAAAACCAGAGCUCCGAAUAGACGUGUCACACAACAAACAAUACCUCACAAUGAUGGGGUGCAAAGAACUGAACUAAAUAGUGUGUGAUAAUGACAUACAGGUGUGUGAACAGGUGAUCAGAAUUCAGGUGAUCUGGAAAGUGAGCUGCGUUCAGGGGAUCUACACGUUUGAGAGUUGGAAGCAGACAAUGACAUACAGGUAGGUGUGUGAACAGGUGAUCGGAAUUCAGGUGAUCUGGAAAGUGAGCUGCGUUCAGGGGAUCUACACGUUUGAGAGUUGGAAGCAGACAUUACAAAUGCAGUCGUGGGGGUUUCGCGUGCCGACUUCACCGUUUCCGAUGUAAAAGUUGGGAUUAAACCAUAUGAAAAAGCAGAAAAGCUAAAAUAGAAGAAAAACCUCACUUUAAAAAACAUUUACUGUCGCCGUCGGGGCAUGUGCCAGUGUAUGCGCUUUAACCAAUGAUUGCCCCGACGCACUGGUCCAUUUGGGAGAGCUCCGGCGUGCCAGGCCCCCCUCCCGUUGCCUUAAUGCUGCGGUUAUGUAUGGAUAUUUUCCCCCCCUUGCAGUUUAAGGUCAGACCAUUUCUCUUUCACAUCAGCCACAGUUCUGUCUUGCUGCCCCACCUAGUUCACUGCAGCGGCGACACACUCCCUAGAUACCCGUUUGGCUUCGUCAACCCACUAUUUAGUCCACCGAAUAAGACGGGUUCACCGUCUUCAUUCUCUACCACAGCCGUGAUGUCGUCUUCCAAAAAGUUAGCUUUUCUCUUUUGGUCCAUGGCGAUUCCUUACUAAAC
This 1848-nucleotide long non-coding RNA is filed under the name Salmo salar (Atlantic salmon). Its description in RNAcentral is "lncRNA (ENSSSAG00000087445.1)". The record is from RNAcentral. Lineage: Eukaryota; Metazoa; Chordata; Actinopteri; Salmoniformes; Salmonidae.